This is a non-coding RNA of Xyrichtys novacula (pearly razorfish), 5008 nucleotides long. The record is from the annotation of a GenBank genome assembly. Lineage: Eukaryota; Metazoa; Chordata; Actinopteri; Labriformes; Labridae.
GCGGACGCCUGACAUCGGCGAAGGAUUUAUCAGAGAAGUUUAAAGUUUGAGAUUUGUCAUCAAAGUUAUGAUGAAACGACGCGUAUGACUGCGGCGGCGGCGGCGUUUGAUCAGGGCUGUAAAGUAGCUGGGUCUUACUGUGUGUGUUGAGGGAUAAUGUGUCAUUACUGGAGGGAUGUGAGUCACUGGAACAAGCAGGCGCACACAUAAACCGAGAGAGCGGAGGGAGAACUGAACACUAAUCACGCUCUGACUCGGCUUGUUAAGGGUAUUUCCUCUCGCUCACUUCAACUCCCAGAGAGAUUAAAUCUCGCCAAAGCCGCUCCAAUCCUCCCCGCCGCACCGUGCCUGGAAGACAGAGAUCCUGGCACACACACACACACACACAGUUAACACACCAUUACCUUCAUGUACUGUAGGUGUACCUGGUCAUAAACCGAGCAUGCUCACUCUGAGUUUCCUGAAAGGGAACUAAAAGAGUCGGGGGGGGAGGGUUUUAAAGGUAGCACAUCAAAGCUGGAGGGUAUUUUACUUUGGAUAGAGAAUGAACACAUCAAACGACAGACCCCCGCUCCUCAUCAACCCCCCUGAACCCCCCCGCUCUACAUUGAGUUCUACUAAAAUUAAGGGGGUUGGGCACCAAAUCCAUAUAUCUGCUUCCUGACAGUUCAAAGAGCCGUGAUUUCAUAUCCAAUGAAAACACCCCGGAGAGCGCGGGUUCGUCUGCCCAUCCGCUCAUUAAACACUCCAUCCUCAAUUGGAGCAAUAUCACCAAAUUGGCGGGUGUGUUUCUGCUCGUGUUCAGCUGAGUGCAGGUGUGAUCAUCUGCAGAAGGAGCCAUGAAGGUGAUUUAUGCUCUUCUCUAGGAGUGAGGAGACACCUCGUGUAAUUAUCAUGUCAGAGAUUUUCCUGUAUGAGCUGUCAGUGAGGUGGGGGGGGGGGGGGGGUGUCUGUAGGUGAGCUCCAUGUUCAGUGUCUGGCUGUCCUCCAGAGAGUUGAUUUAGGUGGAUUAAGAUAAUCCCUACCUGCUCUGAGUCUGUCUCUGGAUGAUCUGGUCUACAGAGAGGCCACCCUCAGAUGGAAGUCCCCUUUAGAUACAAGAAAGGACCCUUUUCAGCAUAGGGUUAUAUGUAUAUAUAUGUGGGGUGCCGCAGCUCAAGGAAGAACAUUUAUGAUCAUUUCUUUAUCAUUUCCUUGAAGUAAUAAUCAUCAUAUUAAUCAUUUUACAGACGCGGUAGUUCUUCUGUCUUAGUGUCUCGGUCUGAUUGUAUUUCUAUGAAGAAAUGAUCAUAAAUGUUCUUCCUUGAGCUGCGGCACCCCGCUGUAGUCCGGCUGCUGGAAGAGAGUAGGUGAGUUGUGUUUAGUCUCUUUGCUAAAGAAAUGAGUCAAAGUUAAAAAGAUGUUUGGUGUCUAGUACUAUUUCUGUGACCCUAUAUGUCCUGUUGAUGAAGUUAGGUGCUGUUCUGAGCAUUAUUUGUGGCUAUAGAGUGGCGUUUUGGUUGAGGGCGUGGCUCUCUGUAUUUCUAUCCUGCGGUCGUUACUAAAGUUGGUAUAACUAGAGAAGCAAGCGGUCGGUAACAUUCAUCUCUGGGGGGGGGGGGUCUAACUCAGAGUUAUGGUGGGUUUGACCCUAAAUUAAUUUAACGCCAGAAUAUCCCUUUAAAGACAGGUGACCAUCAUGAGCUGCUCCAGGACCAGGACCAUCAGAGCACAGUGUCCUCUGGAGCUGCUGCCGGGGCGGCUUUUGAUCCUGAUAAAACACCAGGAGCAGAUAACACACACACACACACACACACACACACACACACACACACACAUACACACACACUCCACCUGCGGCGGGAAGUUAUUCAUUCAUGGUCAUAAUCAGACGAAUACCACCACUCCCUGCUCUGACCUUUGACCUUUCUCUGCAGAGGAAAUAAACUCUCAUGAAAAACUGUGAACAAAGAUUUUUACACUUUCUUAUUUUGAUUUAGUUUUUUAAUUAGGGCUGCAUUUUUAAUCAAUUUUUAAUCACGAUCAAUCUCUGAACUUUAACAGUUCAUUCUCAUGUUUUAAUUUCUUUUAUUUUCUAUUUAAAAACAGUUUUUUUAAGUGUCUCUUUUUUUAAGUGAAAUUAAAUAAAUUUAAUCAAAUGAACUUCUUGACUUCUAAAUUCAUAAAUAAACGCUGAACUGCUCCAUGACUGAGGUCUGACACCGUGGAUCCUGAACUGUGUCUGCAGGACUCUCCUCACCGUCUUCUGACAAACACAGACGUUUAUAAAUCUCAGAUCUUUGAAGUUAAUUUGAGAAAUGUUUGAAAAAUAAUAAUAUUUCAGUUUGUGGCUUAAAACAACUUUUAAAAGUGACUCUGCAUAAACAGGUGCGUCCCAAAUAUCUGCUGUGCAGGUAGACCUGAGGUCAAACCAAGGUCAUGACUCAUCAUCACCGUUUUUAAAGCUACAGUAGAAAGUUUCUUUAAAACUUUUAUUAAAUAUAUAAAAAUGUAUUUUGAUGCUCAUUUAUGAGGCACAAACGAGACCAUCAGAACAGGAGUGAUGGUUUUCAUAAUGUCAUUUCUAGAGCCUGAAUCCUUUCACAUUACAUGAUCGAUUAGACAGUAAAAUGAUUGAUUCAGGAGGACGUCUGAACGUCCGUCUGUCGUUCUUAUAAAACGAGGAUUUCUCGUUCAAACUCUUCAGAUCAGCUCCUGACUCGGUGAACUCUUCUCCCCCCACAUCAGAGUCUCCACCACCUGGCUCAGAACUUUGACCAUUACCUGUCACCUGAGGGCCACAGCAGCCUAUCAGAUGCCUCCCACCCUGAGGAGGGUCUCUGCUGAGGACACCAGUCACCUGACAGAGCUGAAAGCCAAUCAUGAGAGCCCCUCACGCAGCGGUGACGGCGGCUCGCUCUCCCUCUCACAAACAUCCUCUCACCUCUGAUCUCUGCGUAAACACACCUGAACACCCGAUACUGUUGAGUCAGGCCCUCUCCACCUUUUCAUCUCCACCUGCUCUGUUGUUUUUUUUCCUUUCCUUUUCUCUUAUUCUCUCUCUCUCUCUCUCUCUCUUUUUUUUAAUGAACGGCCUUAAGGGCCCCGGAGAGAAAAAUCACAGAGUGAGACUCCUGACAGCUCCUUUUGUGCUCUCCGACUUUUAUGGGAUAUAAACAGAGAGAGGGAGCUGGGUUUGAGCAGGUCCUCUCAACACACACACACACACACACACACACACACACACACACACAGGAUCAAACACUUCAUGUUGUGUUGUAAAACUGUGCAGAAGAGGUCAAUGAACGUCUGUUUUUUUAUGGAUGAACACCAAAACUCAAACGUGGAUUUAAGACACAGAUACACACUCACAGAGAAAGAGAGAGAGUGUGUGUGUGUGUGUGUAAGAAAGAGAGAGAGAGAGAGAGAGGGAGAGAGAGAGAGAGAGAGAGAGAGAGAGGUGAAGUCUCUGCAAGUCUAUCUGGAGCUGCUAAAUUUAAACCUGUCCUCUAAGUGGGUCUCAGCUUUUUAUGUCUGUCACAGCUUUGUGUCAAGCACAAACACACACACACACACACACACACACACGAGAACAGGGUCCAUUGGUGUGUUAAUGAUUAGGAGACGGAGCCAUUUGCUGCUGAUGGGAAUGUGGGCAGUGGUUCCUAAGUGCUUGUAUCUGGGUCAGAGGGCCAAGGCUGCCGGGUUCUUCUCCGCUCAGACAGAGGAUGCUAACGCCACGAACAGACGGGCCUUUCUCUGACCUUUUAGUCCGGUUUGGACCGGAUCUGUCUUCACUUAACCAACACUCAGGUUAGCACGCAUAUUCAGAAUAUUUAAUCCAACAGCUUCCUCUAAUAAAUCAUGACUCCUACUAUCCGAGCAGUUCUUACUGGUUUGGCCAAAAUGUAGUAUCCAGUACUCAGUAGGUGAACAAAUUGAAAUUUGCAGUUUGCCAAAAAUACCGGGAUGAUGUGCUGAUUCGGGAAAAUUCCACAGAAUGCAUCGGACCAGUCUGCUUCACCUACUGUUACCCACAAUGCAAAGCGCCUGGGCAGACUCAAAUUUUCCCACUUCUCCUCGUCCUUUAUUCUGUACGGUACGCCUGAUGUUGACCACUCACAGCGCACGCCAUCAGCCAUGUUUCCAGGCAGCUGACAUUAGAGGGGUCUAAAGCUUUAAUGCAGAAAGGAGAGUAAACGCUAAAACAGUCAGACUGACAGGAGACAGGAGUUUGGACCAGAGGGUUUUUACUGUCAAACUAUCAAAUGGACAAAGGGAGAUAACGGCAAAACCCACAGAAUCCGUCCAGCUCUGCUGCGGAUUGGUUCUGGCGGCCGGAUCAGAUACGCAAGGUUUCUAUUUUUGCCGGACGCCGGAGCACGACGCAUCAAUUCAGUGCAGCACGAGGAGCAGCGGGAGUUUUAUGCAGUUACAGAGUAAAAUAUCGGGUUAAUUUUCAAAAUAAAAUAAAGUCAAUAAGUUUUACUGUUCUUAGGCUGAUAGUCUAGUCCAGUCUCGUGAGAAAUAACGGUAACCCCCGCGAGCGGUUCUCCUCCGAUGGCGGCGGCGGAUUACACUUGUGGAUCUGAUCUGCCUACCUGUCCGGAGCGGAGCGAAGCCGUUCCGGAUCCUGUGGGUUUAGCUAGUAAGACCACGCCACGCAGACGCCAUGAGUUAAUACGUUUAGCGAGGACUGAAACUUCUUUCAUUUAAGCGGGAAACAAGGACAACAUAACUGACAACAGAACUUUGCUGUAUUUACAGCGCCGUGAUGAGGACAGAAUGACACCAGAUCAUUGACGAGUCAUUGCAGAGACAGAACAUGUUUUGAUGGUAUCGGACUAAAAAAUCCAGAAAUAAUGAAAUUAAAACACAGAAAAUAUUUUUUUCAGUGUGUAAAUAAACGAACAUCAGCUAAACCGGGCCGACCGUACUACAGAAUAACAGCUGACUUACAGUCAUACUGUGUACUACUAUCAAACACAGUACUCAGUAUGCAGGAGUACGCAGUAGUCCUAAACCAGCC